Molecule: small nuclear RNA, 192 nt
Organism: Monodelphis domestica (gray short-tailed opossum)
Lineage: Eukaryota; Metazoa; Chordata; Mammalia; Didelphimorphia; Didelphidae
Gene: U2
Rfam family: U2 spliceosomal RNA
About the family: U2 is a small nuclear RNA (snRNA) component of the spliceosome (involved in pre-mRNA splicing). Complementary binding between U2 snRNA (in an area lying towards the 5' end but 3' to hairpin I) and the branchpoint sequence (BPS) of the intron results the bulging out of an unpaired adenosine, on the BPS, which initiates a nucleophilic attack at the intronic 5' splice site, thus starting the first of two transesterification reactions that mediate splicing.
Source: Ensembl
UUAGCUUCUCGGCCUUUUGGCUAAGAUCAAGUGUAGUAUCUGUUCUUAUCAGUUUAAUAUCUGAUACAUCCUCUAUCCAAGGACAAUAUAUUAAAUAGAUUUUUGUAACAGGGAGAUGGAACAGGAGCUUGCUCCUUCCACUCCACGCAUCGACCUGGUAUUGCAGUACUUCUGGGCAAAGGAGAAAUUUAC